RNAcentral lists this unclassified non-coding RNA (826 nucleotides) under Verticillium longisporum. RNAcentral's name for it is "sequence contains 28S rRNA gene". It matches the Rfam family "Eukaryotic large subunit ribosomal RNA", at positions 50 to 901 of the family's 3401-position model. The record is from RNAcentral. Lineage: Eukaryota; Fungi; Ascomycota; Sordariomycetes; Glomerellales; Plectosphaerellaceae.
GCGGAGGAAAAGAAACCAACAGGGAUUGCCUUAGUAACGGCGAGUGAAGCGGCAACAGCUCAAAUUUGAAAUCUGGCUCCUUCGGGGUCCGAGUUGUAAUUUGCAGAGGAUGCUUCGAGUUAUGGUUCCUUCCGAGUUCCCUGGAACGGGACGCCAUAGAGGGUGAGAGCCCCGUCUGGUAGGAAACCAUGCUCAUGUGAAGCUCCCUCGACGAGUCGAGUAGUUUGGGAAUGCUGCUCUAAGGGGAGGUAUACUCCUUCCAAGGCUAAAUACCGGCUAGAGACCGAUAGCGCACAAGUAGAGUGAUCGAAAGAUGAAAAGUACUUUGAAAAGAGAGUCAAACAGCACGUGAAAUUGUUAAAAGGGAAGCGCUCGCUACCAGACGUGGGUUCGGUGGUUCAACCAGGUCCAUGACCUGGGGCACUCCGCCGGCCCAGGCCAGCAUCAGCUUUCCGUCGGGGGCAAAGGCGUCGGGAAUGUGGCUCUCCUUCGGGGGAGUGUUAUAGCCCGUCGCGUCAUACUCUUCGGGGGGCUGAGGUACGCGCUCCGCAAGGAUGCUGGCGUAAUGGUAGCUAGUGACCCGUCUUGAAACACGGACCAAGGAGUCAACCUUAUGUGCGAGUGCCCGGGCGUAAAACCCCAGCGCGGAAUGAAAGUGAACGUAGGUGAGAGCUUCGGCGCAUCACCGACCGAUCCUGAUGUCCUCGGACGGAUUUGAGUGAGAGCAUAUAGGGUUGGACCCGAAAGAAGAUGAACUAUGCGUGUGUAGGGUGAAUCCAGAGGAAACUCUGGUGGAGGCUCGCAGCGGUUCUGACGUGCAAAUCGA